GGAGACAUCAUCACAACUGUUAAUAACGGUAGCAUUAGCAGCAAUAGAAAGCUAAGUCAGUAAAGGGCCAAUAAUCUUUUUUAAAAAAAGAAAAGGAAAAAAAUCCAUAUUCAAGUGCCCAUAUGGGAUAUCUAAGCAAGUUGAAAUUUUUAACCAAACAAAAAUUGUACAGGCUCACAGUUCCAAGAGAUCAAAAUUGCUGCUGCCGUUGGCUAUCCGCUGAUAUAUUAGGCUCCAAGGUUCAAAAUACAUCGGAAAAGAAAAUCACACAUCACCUCAACCGCUGGAUUCCUCAAACUCAGUACAACAUUCCUAAGAUUCAGCCAGGGAUGGUUUCAAGAACAGCAGUUGUCUUGAUGAUUGGUCUUCUGGGAAUGGUUUACCAGGCCACACAGCUUCCUCCACCUCAGAGGGAUAUUCCUCAUGUGAAUUCUCCAAGAAUUAGACUCAGUGAUGGAAGAUAUCUGGCUUACAGAGAGAAGGGAGUCCCCAAGAACAAAUCCAAGUAUAAGAUCAUUAUUGUUCAUGGCUUUGGGAGCUCAAAAGAAAUGAACUUUCUGGCACCUCAAGUACAAGCAUAAAUCUCUCUUCUAUAGCUAUCUUUCUUUCUAUUGAUCUGAAAAUUUAGACAUUAUCAUUUGUGAUUAUAUCUAACUAGAGCAUGGGUGACUAAGAAGAUGUGACACGGGAAGGGAACUCGACCUAGUAGGUGGUAUUGGACAAACAAUCUGGAGUGAAUCAGAAAUUUAUGAAAAAGCUGUUUGAAUUGAUAGAGAUUUCCCAUAGAUUUUGCAUAAUUGCAUAUUUACUGAACUAUAUAUGAGCUCAAUGAAUCAAGAAAAUCCUCAUUUCAACACAAUUUAGAUUUUUUGGUUUUGAUGAUAUGAAUAUGUUUGUUGGACUUCUAGAGAUGCUUUUAGUCAAAGUGAUGUAAACAAAAUGCUGGGGAAGUUAUUUUGAUCACACAUAUGGGCACAUGUUGGUGGGUCUCAUAUCAAAAUAUGCCUCUAGAGAUCCUAGUCUGAUACGAGUGAUCUUUUACAAGAAAAUUUGGUACUUCUUCCAGUUAUGAAGAACUAACUACUGGUUUGAAAUUGCAAGUGUACGAGUAAAGUGAAUUUCACAGUACUUUAGUUUUCAGGAACUCAUAGAGGAGCUGGGGAUAUAUUUUCUGCUGUUUGAUCGAGCUGGGUAUGGAGAAAGUGAUCCAAACCCAAAGCGAACUGUAAAGAGUGAAGCACUUGACAUUGAAGAACUUGCUGAGCAGCUGCAGAUAGGAUCCAAGUUUUACGUGAUAGGAGUCUCAAUGGGAUCAUACCCAAUCUGGAGUUGCCUCAAAUAUAUACCACACAGGCUAGCGGGUGCAUCACUAAUAGUUCCAGUUGUCAAUUAUAGAUGGCCUUCUCUUCCUCAAAAUUUGAUAAGAGAGGACUAUAGAAGGAAACUUGUCCAGUGGGCGCUCUGGUUUUCAAAGUAUGCCCCUGGACUACUACACUGGUGGGUUACUCAGCAAUGGAUCCCUUCAACUUCUGUCCUGGAAAAGAACCCACUAUUUUUUAGCACUGAAGAUAUAGAGAUCUUGAAGAAGAUACCAGGGUUCCCAAUGUUAAGCAAGGUAACUGCAUGCUCCAUAUGCAUGAAAAGAAUGAAAGGAAGCUAUUAAUAAAAUAAAAUAAUAAAAUUUGUUCUACUAGGUUGUAUUUUUACAUGUCAAAAUACGUUAUUUUUUUUGUUUCCACCUACAGGAUAGAUUACAACAACAAGAUGUUUUUGAUACUCUCCGUCAUGAUUUUAUGGUUGGCUUUGGAGAUUGGGACUUUGAUCCAAUUCAGCUAAGAAAUCCAUUUCCUCAAAAUGAAAGCUCUGUUCACAUCUGGCAAGGUUAUGAAGAUAAGGUAGUGCCAUUUCAACUUCAAAGAUAUAUUUCGGGGAAGCUACCAUGGAUUCAAUAUCAUGAAGUUCCUCAUGGUGGACAUCUAAUUGUGCAUUAUAGUGGUUUAUGUGAGACUGUUUUGAAAGCACUUUUACUUGGAGAAGAACCUCUUAAAUUAGAACAAGUGCAUCCAUAAUUGCUUGUUAAUUUAUCACAUAGACAUUCCAUUAUUCAAAAUGUUUUUCAUGUAAGUAGAUUGAAUUUUAGAGAAUGUACACAUGUGUCAAAUUACAUU
Molecule: unclassified non-coding RNA, 2168 nt
Filed under: Hevea brasiliensis (rubber tree)
Lineage: Eukaryota; Viridiplantae; Streptophyta; Magnoliopsida; Malpighiales; Euphorbiaceae
Source: RNAcentral